Molecule: ribosomal RNA, 248 nt
Filed under: uncultured bacterium
Lineage: Bacteria
Description: partial small subunit ribosomal RNA
Rfam family: Bacterial small subunit ribosomal RNA
Source: RNAcentral
AGAAUCAACGCUGGCGGCGCGCUUAACACAUGCAAGUCGAACGAGAAAGGGGAGCAAUCCCUGAGUAAAGUGGCGUACGGGUGAGUAACACGUGGGUAAUCUACCUCUUUGAGUGGAAUAACCCUGGGAAACCGGGGCUAAUACCGCAUAAGCCUGAGAAGGGAAAGCCGAAAGGCGCUGAGAGAGGACGCCCGCGGCCGAUUAGCUAGUUGGUGAGGUAAGACGCCCACCGAAGGCAUAGAUCGGUA